CAAGUGUGACUGACAUGCCCUUCU
RNAcentral lists this non-coding RNA (24 nucleotides) under Arabidopsis thaliana (thale cress). Lineage: Eukaryota; Viridiplantae; Streptophyta; Magnoliopsida; Brassicales; Brassicaceae. The record is from RNAcentral.